GAGGGGUGGCCGAGCGGUCAAAGGCAGCAGACUGUAAAUCUGUCGACGGAAGUCUACGAGAGUUCGAAUCUUUCCCCCUCC
This 81-nucleotide transfer RNA is filed under the name bovine gut metagenome. It matches the Rfam family "tRNA". Rfam says of the family: Transfer RNA (tRNA) molecules are approximately 80 nucleotides in length. Their secondary structure includes four short double-helical elements and three loops (D, anti-codon, and T loops). Further hydrogen bonds mediate the characteristic L-shaped molecular structure. tRNAs have two regions of fundamental functional importance: the anti-codon, which is responsible for specific mRNA codon recognition, and the 3' end, to which the tRNAs corresponding amino acid is attached (by aminoacyl-tRNA synthetases). tRNAs cope with the degeneracy of the genetic code in two manners: having more than one tRNA (with a specific anti-codon) for a particular amino acid; and 'wobble' base-pairing, i.e. permitting non-standard base-pairing at the 3rd anti-codon position. The record is from RNAcentral.